GGAAUGCCAGAUACGAUGAGGACAUGACCAAGAAGCAGAUCCUGGAGAAAGAGAGAUAAGAAGGAUAUCUUAUCUAGGAAAAGGGCAUUUUUAGAGGCUCACCAGAAAUAGGAGUGGGGACUAAGCUACUUCCAGCUGUACUUGGAAUUAGAGAACUCUCGCCCUUUAGCUACAUUCAGACCUGGACAUGUUUGUUCUGAGAGGCCAUGUGAGGGUCCUGAGACUCGUCCCCACGGAGGUGUCCUCAAAGCCUAGCAAGAAUUCUAGGUCCUUAAACUGAGCCCACCCUCCCUCUGACUGGCCACCUUGAUCCGGUGCUUCCUUUUCAAGACCACAGAGAUCAUCCCCUAAGGAGGCAGGUCCACAUUCCCCCAGCAAGUGCUGAAGCUGACAGUCAGAACUCAGCCAGCAGAACCAGAGGAAGGUCAUGAGGCCAAAUUACAGACACGUCUGGGGUUCCAAAAACUGCUCUAAAGAAGGGCCUGCCAUGUAGCCUCCAGACUCCGCCCAGGACUUUCAGUUGACCUGGGAACUCCCCACACACAGAGGCCCCUGCCAGACACCCAGGUGAGCUUGACACUCC
This is a long non-coding RNA of Leopardus geoffroyi (Geoffroy's cat), 583 nucleotides long. RefSeq lists it as uncharacterized. The record is from RefSeq and is a predicted model, not a curated record. NCBI's taxonomy places the organism in Eukaryota, Metazoa, Chordata, Mammalia, Carnivora, Felidae. The transcript has 3 exons.